AACUUGGAUUGUACUGAGAGAGAACAACUUGAGGAGAGGUUAAAAGAAGAGCAUGCUGAAAGGGAAAGAUUGUUGGAAGAGGAGCGAACAUCAAGACCGGAAUUUGAAAAAAAACAUGAUGACAAAGUUUGUAGCAUUGAGCCAGCAGAUGGGAACCCAACAGGUGCCUAAGGAUUGACAAAGAAAAUAGUAACCCAAACUUGCAAAAUACACUUUUAUAGAGAUCUAGUCCUAAUAAGACUCCAGUUCAAGGCCAAUUAUUAUUUCUUCAAAUGCGCUCAUACAAGCUGCAACAAGGAAUUCUCGAAUGUUUAAAGCAAUGGAUCCAAAGAACUAGCUGGCCUGGACUCUAGAUCACGGACCGUUUAGUCUUUGCAAUUAAUUAGGAUGGCUAAAUUAUAUCUGAGUUUCAUUUGAUGGAUAUUUGCUACGAGAAUUAUGAACUUUAUGAAUCUACAUAUUAUACGUAUGGUUUUGAAUAUUGUAAUUGAAUGCAUGUAUUUUUUUUACAGUUGCAAUAUGCUACAACCCACUUUCGGUUGCCACAUGUU
Triticum urartu is the source of this 551-nucleotide long non-coding RNA. RefSeq lists it as uncharacterized. The record is from RefSeq and is a predicted model, not a curated record. Lineage: Eukaryota; Viridiplantae; Streptophyta; Magnoliopsida; Poales; Poaceae.